AAGGGUGACUGCGUACCUUUUGUAUAAUGGGUCAGCGACUUAUAUUUUGUAGCGAGGUUAACCGAAUAGGGGAGCCGAAGGGAAACCGAGUCUUAACUGGGCGUCUAGUUGCAAGGUAUAGACCCGAAACCCGGUGAUCUAGCCAUGGGCAGGUUGAAGGUUGGGUAACACUAACUGGAGGACCGAACCGACUAAUGUUGAAAAAUUAGCGGAUGACUUGUGGCUGGGGGUGAAAGGCCAAUCAAACCGGGAGAUAGCUGGUUCUCCCCGAAAUCUAUUUAGGUAGAGCCUUGAGCGGACACCUUCGGGGGUAGAGCACUGUUUCGGCUAGGGGUCCAUCCCGGAUUACCAACCCGAUGCAAACUACGAAUACCGAAGAGUGAUACUCAGGAGACACACGGCGGGUGCUAACGUCCGUCGUGGAGAGGGAAACAACCCAGACCGCCAGCUAAGGUCCCAAAGUCUAUAUUAAGUGGGAAACGAAGUGGGAAGGCUUAGACAGCUAGGAUGUUGGCUUAGAAGCAGCCAUCAUUUAAAGAAAGCGUAAUAGCUCACUAGUCGAGUCGGCCUGCGCGGAAGAUGUAACGGGGCUCAAAUAUAGCACCGAAGCUGCGGCAUCAGACGAAAGUCUGUUGGGUAGGGGAGCGUUGUGUAAGCGGAUGAAGGUGUGUUGAGAAGCAUGCUGGACGUAUCACAAGUGCGAAUGCUGACAUAAGUAACGAUAAAACGGGUGAAAAACCCGUUCGCCGGAAGACCAAGGGUUCCUGUCCAACGUUAAUCGGGGCAGGGUGAGUCGGCCCCUAAGGCGAGGCUGAAAAGCGUAGUCGAUGGGAAACGGGUUAAUAUUCCCGUACUUGGUAAAGCUGCGAUGUGGGGACGGAGCAGGUUAGGUUAGCGUGCUGUUGGAUAUGCACGUUUAAGUUGGUAGGUGGGGAGUUUAGGCAAAUCCGGACUUCCUUAACACUGAGAGAUGAUGACGAGGCUCUACGGAGCUGAAGUAACCGAUACCACACUUCCAGGAAAAGCCACUAAGCGAAAGGCUUUACUAAACCGUACUGAAAACCGACACAGGUGGUCAGGUAGAGAAUACUCAGGCGCUUGAGAGAACUCGGGUGAAGGAACUAGGCAAAAUAGCACCGUAACUUCGGGAGAAGGUGCGCCGGCGUAGAUUGUAGUCCCUCGCGGGCGAAGGUUGAACCGGUCGAAGAUACCAGCUGGCUGCAACUGUUUAUUAAAAACACAGCACUCUGCAAACACGAAAGUGGACGUAUAGGGUGUGAUGCCUGCCCGGUGCUGGAAGGUUAAUUGAUGGUGUAAUCGAAAGAGAAGCUCCUGAUCGAAGCCCCAGUAAACGGCGGCCGUAACUAUAACGGUCCUAAGGUAGCGAAAUUCCUUGUCGGGUAAGUUCCGACCUGCACGAAUGGCAUAAUGAUGGCCAGGCUGUCUCCACCCGAGACUCAGUGAAAUUGAAAUCGCCGUGAAGAUGCGGUGUACCCGCGGCUAGACGGAAAGACCCCGUGAACCUUUACUAUAGCUUGACACUGAACAUUGAAUUUUGAUGUGUAGGAUAGGUGGGAGACUAUGAAGAUGAUACGCCAGUAUUGUUGGAGUCGUCCUUGAAAUACCACCCUUUAACGUUUGAUGUUCUAACGAAGAUUACGAAACGUGGUCUCGGACAGUGUCUGGUGGGUAGUUUGACUGGGGCGGUCUCCUCCCAAAGAGUAACGGAGGAGCACGAAGGUUUGCUAAUGACGGUCGGACAUCGUCAGGUUAGUGCAAUGGUAUAAGCAAGCUUAACUGCGAGACAGACAAGUCGAGCAGGUACGAAAGUAGGUCAUAGUGAUCCGGUGGUUCUGCAUGGAAGGGCCAUCGCUCAACGGAUAAAAGGUACUCCGGGGAUAACAGGCUGAUACCGCCCAAGAGUUCAUAUCGACGGCGGUGUUUGGCACCUCGAUGUCGGCUCAUCACAUCCUGGGGCUGAAGUAGGUCCCAAGGGUAUGGCUGUUCGCCAUUUAAAGUGGUACGCGAGCUGGGUUUAGAACGUCGUGAGACAGUUCGGUCCCUAUCUGCCGUGGGCGUUGGAGAAUUGAUUGGGGCUGCUCCUAGUACGAGAGGACCGGAGUGGACGCACCACUGGUGUUCCGGUUGUGUCGCCAGACGCAUUGCCGGGUAGCUAAGUGCGGAAGAGAUAAGUGCUGAAAGCAUCUAAGCACGAAACUUGCCAAGAGAUGAGUUCUCCCAGAUUAUAAAUCUGUAAGGGUUGUUUAAGACUAAGACGUAGAUAGGUGCGGUGUGUAAGUGUAGUGAUACAUUGAGCUAACGCAUACUAAUUGCCCGAGAGGCUUAACUAU
This 2351-nucleotide ribosomal RNA is filed under the name Parahaemophilus parainfluenzae. Its description in RNAcentral is "Haemophilus parainfluenzae bacterial LSU rRNA". It matches the Rfam family "Bacterial large subunit ribosomal RNA", at positions 589 to 2925 of the family's 2925-position model. Lineage: Bacteria; Pseudomonadati; Pseudomonadota; Gammaproteobacteria; Pasteurellales; Pasteurellaceae. The record is from RNAcentral.